Molecule: ribosomal RNA, 478 nt
Filed under: uncultured bacterium
Lineage: Bacteria
Description: partial 16S ribosomal RNA
Rfam family: Bacterial small subunit ribosomal RNA
Source: RNAcentral
GAUUAACGCUGGCGGCGUGCAUAACACAUGCAAGUCGAACGAUGAAACUUUACUGACUUCUUCGGAAUGAUUUAAAGCGGAUUAGUGGCGAACGGGUGAGUAACGCGUGAGUAACCUGCCUUACACAAGGGGAUAGCCUCUGGAAACGGAGAAUAAUACCCUAUGAAACCAGACAAUCGCAUGAUAAUCUGGUCAAAAUGUUUAGUGGUGUAAGAUGGACUUGCGUCUGAUUAGCUAGUUGGUGAGAUAAAAGCUCACCAAGGCAACGAUCAGUAGCCGGCUUGAGAGAGUGUACGGCCACAUUGGGACUGAGACACGGCCCAGACUCCUUCGGGAGGCAGCAGUGGGGAAUUUUGCACAAUGGGGGAAACCCUGAUGCAGCGACGCCGCGUGAUUUAGAAGGCCUUCGGGUUGUAAAAAUCUUUUGUAUAGGAAGAAAAUGACAGUACUAUACGAAUAAGGUCCGGCUAAUUACGUG